AACGCUUCUUUCCUCCCGAGUGCUUGCACUCAAUUGGAAAGAGGAGUGGCGGACGGGUGAGUAACACGUGGGUAACCUACCCAUCAGAGGGGGAUAACACUUGGAAACAGGUGCUAAUACCGCAUAACAGUUUAUGUCGCAUGGCAUAAGAGUGAAAGGCGCUUUCGGGUGUCGCUGAUGGAUGGACCCGCGGUGCAUUAGCUAGUUGGUGAGGUAACGGCUCACCAAGGCCACGAUGCAUAGCCGACCUGAGAGGGUGAUCGGCCACACUGGGACUGAGACACGGCCCAGACUCCUACGGGAGGCAGCAGUAGGGAAUCUUCGGCAAUGGACGAAAGUCUGACCGAGCAACGCCGCGUGAGUGAAGAAGGUUUUCGGAUCGUAGAACUCUGUUGUUAGAGAAGAACAAGGACGUUAGUAACUGAACGUCCCCUGACGGUAUCUAACCAGAAAGCCACGGCUAACUACGUGCCAGCAGCCGCGGUAAUACGUAGGUGGCAAGCGUUGUCCGGAUUUAUUGGGCGUAAAGCGAGCGCAGGCGGUUUCUUAAGUCUGAUGUGAAAGCCCCCGGCUCAACCGGGGAGGGUCAUUGGAAACUGGGAGACUUGAGUGCAGAAGAGGAGAGUGGAAUUCCAUGUGUAGCGGUGAAAUGCGUAGAUAUAUGGAGGAACACCAGUGGCGAAGGCGGCUCUCUGGUCUGUAACUGACGCUGAGGC
Molecule: ribosomal RNA, 716 nt
Filed under: uncultured Bacilli bacterium
Lineage: Bacteria; Bacillati; Bacillota; Bacilli
Description: bacterial SSU rRNA
Rfam family: Bacterial small subunit ribosomal RNA
Source: RNAcentral